UGAGACAUAAAUGCAGAAAACCUGCUCUUGGAUGCUGAUGUGAAAGUCAAAAUUUCAGACUUUGGCUUAAGUAGCAAAUUUGUCUUUGGCAACAAGAUGGAUACCUCCUGUGGCAGUCCCCCAUGGGACCCUAAAUUCUUCCAGGGCCAAAGGUAUGAUGGGCUUGAGGUUGAUGUGUAGAACUUGGGAGUCAUAUAUACACUGAUCAGUGGGGCUCUGCCUUUUGAUGCACAGAAAUUCAAGGAGCUGUGAGAGGAAGUACUGAGAGUGCAAUACCAUAUUCCCUUGUACAUAUCCAUGGAAUGUGGAAACCUGCUCAAGAAAUUUAUCCUUCUAAAUCCCAGCAAGAGAGUCAUAUUAGAGAAAAUAAUUAAAGAUUGAUGGAUGAAUGUAGACCAUUAAGAUAAUAAACUAAAGCCAGAUGUAGAGCCAUUCCCUGACUAUUAGGACUCCAGUGGACUGAGUUGACAGUGUCUGUGGUUACAUACUGGAAGAGACCCAGGACUCACUCAUGGGCCAGGAGUACAAUGAAGUGAUGGCCACCUAUCUGUUCCUUAGCUAGAAGAGGUCUGAGUUGGAGGACUGCACCAUCAUUCUGAAGCCCAGUUUUCAGUUGAUUUGAGCAAUAGCAGUGUACCUUUCCAUCCCAUAGAGUACAGCACAGCAACUCUGCCAACCCCAUACAGCUGAGUUCCAGAAAGCCUGCCAAUUCCCACCUUUAAUUCCCACUCUCAGAAUACCCAAAGUAGCAAUGCAGAAAAUCAGUGGCCUGUGGAGGACCAGGAGUCAGGGACGAAGACCAACAGUAUAGCCAGUGGGUCUGCCAGGCCCCUCCAUGGUCUGGAGAGGAAGAAAAAAAACCCUCCAAAGCAAUUUCUCCACAAACACAAAUCAAAGCAGAAAUUUACAACUUUUGGAGAGGGCCAGCCUUGGUGAGUUAUCCACUCAGCAUGGAAAAGACUGCCUGACUAUGCCGGGGUUUGGGUCUCCAUGGCUUCUGCUUCCACCAUAGUGUCCCCAGUUCCUCGCCUUGGUUCAGCAUAAUCCUGCCUCAGACCUGACCCCAGGAGAAUAACUCUCUAUUCCAGUGCAAGGCCCCAGGAUGUUCCUGGGUUUUGGCCUAUGCUUCACAAACAGCCUUUGCAGUAGUGGUGGUUUCUGACAGAACCAACUUUCUCAGAGUGUGUUCAAAGGAAACUUCAUUCUCACUGGCAUACUCCAAUAGAUGUAUGACUUGCAGAAUUUGCCAUAUGAUGUGACCCCAGUCUAGGGCCAGCUAUUGGGAACUUCUUCAGCAAGUUCUCAUUCAAAUGCAUACACAGAAAUCGAAACAACCUGAAAUAACCAGAAACCAAAGACCAAGUGAAGAUAUGGUCUUAUGUGGUGGGCAGCCAAGGCAAUGAUAAAGAGAAAUAAUUUCUCAAGGCCAAAAUGUGUCCACCACACUUUCCAUGGAGAAUGAAGAUCAUGAGCACCAUGGAACCUAAGGUGGAGAAGGUGCAGUAGGUAAACGGCAGUGUGUGAAAUGUACAAGGAGUAUGUGCCAUUUUGCAUGCAGGGCUUGCUGGGCCAAAGGCACUUCAUGCAAUGGAAGGUGGAGGUGUGUAAACUGCCCUGGUGAUCUCUCUGCAGAGUUCAAUUAAAGCAGGUAUCAAGCACUUUCAUGGCAAAAA
This 1673-nucleotide long non-coding RNA is filed under the name Homo sapiens (human). RNAcentral's name for it is "non-protein coding lnc-FSHB-9:1". The record is from RNAcentral. Lineage: Eukaryota; Metazoa; Chordata; Mammalia; Primates; Hominidae.